RNAcentral lists this non-coding RNA (24 nucleotides) under Arabidopsis thaliana (thale cress). Lineage: Eukaryota; Viridiplantae; Streptophyta; Magnoliopsida; Brassicales; Brassicaceae. The record is from RNAcentral.
AGGCUUCUUGAUGGACGUGAUGAU